GGAGGGAGAGGCAGCUGGCAGCAACCCCUCUAUGCAGCAGGCACUGUUCCGGGCAUUACACAGCUCCAUCCCGUGAGGCAGAGGUAUGAGGUAGAUGACAUUGAUGAAGAAGGCAAAGCGAGACACACCGUGAGCUUGCGCCGGAUCAUCCCGCUGACCCGGUGGAAGGCCAACCCCGAGACAGACCCCGAGGCCUUGUUAGUCAAGGAGAA
RNAcentral lists this long non-coding RNA (212 nucleotides) under Homo sapiens (human). Its description in RNAcentral is "HSALNT0385171". The record is from RNAcentral. Lineage: Eukaryota; Metazoa; Chordata; Mammalia; Primates; Hominidae.